This 77-nucleotide transfer RNA is filed under the name Vibrio sp. ER1A. RNAcentral's name for it is "tRNA-Met". It matches the Rfam family "tRNA". From Rfam's summary of the family: Transfer RNA (tRNA) molecules are approximately 80 nucleotides in length. The record is from RNAcentral. Lineage: Bacteria; Pseudomonadati; Pseudomonadota; Gammaproteobacteria; Vibrionales; Vibrionaceae.
CGCGGGGUGGAGCAGCUUGGUAGCUAGUCGGGCUCAUAACCCGAAGGUCGUCGGUUCAAAUCCGGCCCCCUCAACCA